This 465-nucleotide ribosomal RNA is filed under the name uncultured Klebsiella sp. RNAcentral's name for it is "bacterial SSU rRNA". It matches the Rfam family "Bacterial small subunit ribosomal RNA", at positions 338 to 795 of the family's 1533-position model. Lineage: Bacteria; Pseudomonadati; Pseudomonadota; Gammaproteobacteria; Enterobacterales; Enterobacteriaceae. The record is from RNAcentral.
CCUACGGUGGGCAGCAGUGGGGAAUAUUGCACAAUGGGCGCAAGCCUGAUGCAGCCAUGCCGCGUGUGUGAAGAAGGCCUUCGGGUUGUAAAGCACUUUCAGCGGGGAGGAAGGCGGUGAGGUUAAUAACCUCAUCGAUUGACGUUACCCGCCGAAGAAGCACCGGCUAACUCCGUGCCAGCAGCCGCGGUAAUACGGAGGGUGCAAGCGUUAAUCGGAAUUACUGGGCGUAAAGCGCACGCAGGCGGUCUGUCAAGUCGGAUGUGAAAUCCCCGGGCUCAACCUGGGAACUGCAUUCGAAACUGGCAGGCUAGAGUCUUGUAGAGGGGGGUAGAAUUCCAGGUGUAGCGGUGAAAUGCGUAGAGAUCUGGAGGAAUACCGGUGGCGAAGGCGGCCCCCUGGACAAAGACUGACGCUCAGGUGCGAAAGCGUGGGGAGCAAACAGGAUUAGAUACCCCUGUAGUC